CCUACGGGUGGCUGCAGUGGGGAAUAUUGGACAAUGGGGGCAACCCUGAUCCAGCCAUGCCGCGUGUGUGAAGAAGGCCCUCGGGUUGUAAAGCACUUUCAGUGAGGAAGAACGCCUGGUGGUUAAUACCCAUCAGGAAGGACAUCACUCACAGAAGAAGCACCGGCUAACUCCGUGCCAGCAGCCGCGGUAAUACGGAGGGUGCGAGCGUUAAUCGGAAUUACUGGGCGUAAAGCGCGCGUAGGUGGCUUGAUAAGCCGGUUGUGAAAGCCCCGGGCUCAACCUGGGAACGGCAUCCGGAACUGUCAAGCUAGAGUGCAGGAGAGGAAGGUAGAAUUCCCGGUGUAGCGGUGAAAUGCGUAGAGAUCGGGAGGAAUACCAGUGGCGAAGGCGGCCUUCUGGACUGACACUGACACUGAGGUGCGAAAGCGUGGGUAGCAAACAGGAUUAGAUACCCCAGUAGUC
Molecule: ribosomal RNA, 465 nt
Filed under: Vreelandella stevensii
Lineage: Bacteria; Pseudomonadati; Pseudomonadota; Gammaproteobacteria; Oceanospirillales; Halomonadaceae
Description: partial 16S ribosomal RNA
Rfam family: Bacterial small subunit ribosomal RNA
Source: RNAcentral